RNAcentral lists this ribosomal RNA (145 nucleotides) under Drechslerella sp. ZY-2011a. RNAcentral describes it as "5.8S ribosomal RNA". It matches the Rfam family "5.8S ribosomal RNA". Rfam says of the family: 5.8S ribosomal RNA (5.8S rRNA) is a component of the large subunit of the eukaryotic ribosome. The record is from RNAcentral. RNAcentral also lists the same sequence under 2 other names. Lineage: Eukaryota; Fungi; Ascomycota; Orbiliomycetes; Orbiliales; Orbiliaceae.
ACUUUCAACAACGGAUCUCUUGGUUCCCGCAUCGAUGAAGAACGCAGCGAAACGCGAUAGUUAAUGUGAAUUGCAGAAUUCAGUGAAUCAUCGAGUCUUUGAACGCAUAUUGCGCCCAUUGGUAUUCCAUUGGGCAUGUCUGUUU